GAUGAACGCUGGCGGCGUGCUUAACACAUGCAAGUCGAACGAUUAAGACGGCUUCGGCCGUGUAUAGAGUGGCGAACGGGUGAGUAACACGUGACCAACCUGCCCCGCGCUCCGGGACAACCGCUGGAAACGGCGGCUAAUACCGGAUGCUCCGGGGAGGCCCCAUGGCCUCCCCGGGAAAGCCCUGACGGCGCGGGAUGGGGUCGCGGCCCAUUAGGUAGACGGCGGGGUAACGGCCCACCGUGCCCGCGAUGGGUAGCCGGACUGAGAGGUCGACCGGCCACAUUGGGACUGAGAUACGGCCCAGACUCCUACGGGAGGCAGCAGUGGGGAAUUUUGCGCAAUGGGAGGAACCCUGACGCAGCAACGCCGCGUGCGGGACGAAGGCCUUCGGGUUGUAAACCGCUUUCAGCAGGGAAGACAUAGACGGUACCUGCAGAAGAAGCUCCGGCU
Molecule: ribosomal RNA, 453 nt
Filed under: uncultured bacterium
Lineage: Bacteria
Description: bacterial SSU rRNA
Rfam family: Bacterial small subunit ribosomal RNA
Source: RNAcentral